Molecule: ribosomal RNA, 397 nt
Filed under: uncultured bacterium
Lineage: Bacteria
Description: partial 16S ribosomal RNA
Rfam family: Bacterial small subunit ribosomal RNA
Source: RNAcentral
AUACGUAGGUGGCAAGCGUUGUCCGGAAUUAUUGGGCGUAAAGCGCGCGCAGGUGGUUCCUUAAGUCUGAUGUGAAAGCCCCCGGCUCAACCGGGGAGGGUCAUUGGAAACGGGGGAACUUGAGUGCAGAAGAGGAUAGUGGAAUUCCAAGUGUAGCGGUGAAAUGCGUAGAGAUUUGGAGGAACACCAGUGGCGAAGGCGACUGUCUGGUCUGUAACUGACACUGAGGCGCGAAAGCGUGGGGAGCAAACAGGAUUAGAUACCCUGGUAGUCCACGCCGUAAACGAUGAGUGCUAAGUGUUGGGGGGUUUCCGCCCCUCAGUGCUGCAGCUAACGCAUUAAGCACUCCGCCUGGGGAGUACGGUCGCAAGACUGAAACUCAAAGGAAUUGACGGGG